GACGAACGCCGGCGGGCGUGCUUAACACAUGCAAGUCGAACGAAGAGCGAUGGGAAGCUUGCUUCUAUCAAUCUUAGUGGCGAAACGGGUGAGUAACGCGUAAUCAACCUGCCCUUCAGAGGGGGACAACAGUUGGAAACGACUGCUAAUACCGCAUACGAUCUAAUCUCGGCAUCGAGGAUAGAUGAAAGGUGGCCUCUACAUGUAAGCUAUCACUGAAGGAGGGGAUUGCGUCUGAUUAGCUAGUUGGAGGGGUAACGGCCCACCAAGGCGAUGAUCAGUAGCCGGUCUGAGAGGAUGAACGGCCACAUUGGGACUGAGACACGGCCCAGACUCCUACGGGAGGCAGCAGUGGGGAAUCUUCCGCAAUGGGACGAAAGUCUGACGGGAGCAAACGCCCGCGUGAAGUGAAUGACGGGCCCUUUCGGGGUUGUAAAAGGCUUCUGUAAUUCGGGAACGAAAAGGCCUUUCCUG
RNAcentral lists this ribosomal RNA (474 nucleotides) under Veillonella parvula. Its description in RNAcentral is "bacterial SSU rRNA". It matches the Rfam family "Bacterial small subunit ribosomal RNA", at positions 28 to 463 of the family's 1533-position model. Lineage: Bacteria; Bacillati; Bacillota; Negativicutes; Veillonellales; Veillonellaceae. The record is from RNAcentral.